Molecule: ribosomal RNA, 929 nt
Filed under: Escherichia coli
Lineage: Bacteria; Pseudomonadati; Pseudomonadota; Gammaproteobacteria; Enterobacterales; Enterobacteriaceae
Description: partial 23S ribosomal RNA
Rfam family: Bacterial large subunit ribosomal RNA
Source: RNAcentral
UCAACCGAGAUUCCCCCAGUAGCGGCGAGCGAACGGGGAGCAGCCCAGAGCCUGAAUCAGUGUGUGUGUUAGUGGAAGCGUCUGGAAAGGCGCGCGAUACAGGGUGACAGCCCCGUACACAAAAAUGCACAUAUUGUGAGCUCGAUGAGUAGGGCGGGACACGUGGUAUCCUGUCUGAAUAUGGGGGGACCAUCCUCCAAGGCUAAAUACUCCUGACUGACCGAUAGUGAACCAGUACCGUGAGGGAAAGGCGAAAAGAACCCCGGCGAGGGGAGUGAAAAAGAACCUGAAACCGUGUACGUACAAGCAGUGGGAGCACGCUUCGGCGUGUGACUGCGUACCUUUUGUAUAAUGGGUCAGCGACUUAUAUUCUGUAGCAAGGUUAACCGAAUAGGGGAGCCGAAGGGAAACCGAGUCUUAACUGGGCGUUAAGUUGCAGGGUAUAGACCCGAAACCCGGUGAUCUAGCCAUGGGCAGGUUGAAGGUUGGGUAACACUAACUGGAGGACCGAACCGACUAAUGUUGAAAAAUUAGCGGAUGACUUGUGGCUGGGGGUGAAAGGCCAAUCAAACCGGGAGAUAGCUGGUUCUCCCCGAAAGCUAUUUAGGUAGCGCCUCGUGAAUUCAUCUCCGGGGGUAGAGCACUGUUUCGGCAAGGGGGUCAUCCCGACUUACCAACCCGAUGCAAACUGCGAAUACCGGAGAAUGUUAUCACGGGAGACACACGGCGGGUGCUAACGUCCGUCGUGAAGAGGGAAACAACCCAGACCGCCAGCUAAGGUCCCAAAGUCAUGGUUAAGUGGGAAACGAUGUGGGAAGGCCCAGACAGCCAGGAUGUUGGCUUAGAAGCAGCCAUCAUUUAAAGAAAGCGUAAUAGCUCACUGGUCGAGUCGGCCUGCGCGGAAGAUGUAACGGGGCUAAACCAUGCAC